Molecule: long non-coding RNA, 329 nt
Filed under: Cricetulus griseus (Chinese hamster)
Lineage: Eukaryota; Metazoa; Chordata; Mammalia; Rodentia; Cricetidae
Description: lncRNA (ENSCGRG00015041272.1)
Source: RNAcentral
AGUGUUUGCAUCUGCUCUCAUUAGUUGCUUGAUGAUAGUCCUCUGAGGAUACUUGGAGUAGGCGCUGAUCUAGUAGUAUAGCAGAUGGCAGAUUAUCAUCAGUAAUCAAUUCAGUGUCUAUUUUGCCAGUUGUAUUUAGUUCUAUCCUGUGUCUCUGGGUUGUCCUGCCUCUGGUUCCUGGUCAUCCAGCCACUGUCAGAUGUGCAAAAGUUGUACUCAUCUUGUCAGGGGCUUGAGAAGAAUAUGUGGGAAGCCCAAGGCAAAUACAAUGAAGAGAGACCCACAUUGGGCGAGAAGCCAGGCAUAGAGCAUGGAUAUCUGCACUGGAG